This 841-nucleotide ribosomal RNA is filed under the name uncultured marine bacterium. Its description in RNAcentral is "bacterial SSU rRNA". It matches the Rfam family "Bacterial small subunit ribosomal RNA", at positions 32 to 920 of the family's 1533-position model. The record is from RNAcentral.
AACUGUGGCGGCAGGCCUAACACAUGCAAGUCGAGCGCUCACUUCGGUGGGAGCGGCGGACGGGUUAGUAACGCGUGGGAAUAUACCCGGUACUAAGGAAUAGCCUUUGGAAACGAAGAGUAAUACCUUAUACGCCCUUCGGGGGAAAGAUUUAUCGGUAUCGGAUUAGCCCGCGUAAGAUUAGAUAGUUGGUGGGGUAAUGGCCUACCAAGUCUACGAUCUUUAGCUGGUUUUAGAGGAUGAUCAGCAACACUGGGACUGAGACACGGCCCAGACUCCUACGGGAGGCAGCAGUGGGGAAUCUUAGACAAUGGGCGCAAGCCUGAUCUAGCCAUGCCGCGUGAGUGAAGAAGGCCUUAGGGUCGUAAAACUCUUUCGCCAGAGAUGAUAAUGACAGUAUCUGGUAAAGAAACCCCGGCUAACUCCGUGCCAGCAGCCGCGGUAAUACGGAGGGGGUUAGCGUUGUUCGGAAUUACUGGGCGUAAAGCGCACGUAGGCGGACUGGAAAGUUGGGGGUGAAAUCCCGGGGCUCAACCUCGGAACUGCCUCCAAAACUAUCAGUCUAGAGUUCGAGAGAGGUGAGUGGAAUUCCAAGUGUAGAGGUGAAAUUCGUAGAUAUUUGGAGGAACACCAGUGGCGAAGGCGGCUCACUGGCUCGAUACUGACGCUGAGGUGCGAAAGUGUGGGGAGCAAACAGGAUUAGAUACCCUGGUAGUCCACACCGUAAACGAUGAAUGCCAGUCGUCGGCAAGUAUACUUGUCGGUGACACACCUAACGGAUUAGCAUUCCGCCUGGGGAGUACGGUCGCAAGAUUAAAACUCAAAGGAAUUUGACGGAGGG